GGUAGCUAUGUUCGGAAGGGAUAACCGCUGAAAGCAUCUAAGCGGGAAGCCUACCUCAAGAUAAGAUUUCCCUAGGAAUUUAUUCCUCUAAAGAGCCGUUCGAGACUAGGACGUUGAUAGGUUGGGUGUGGAAGCACGGUGACGUGUGAAGCUGACCAAUACUAAUUGCUCGUGAGGCUUGACUAUACAACACCCAAACAGUUG
RNAcentral lists this ribosomal RNA (204 nucleotides) under Acinetobacter johnsonii. RNAcentral describes it as "partial 23S ribosomal RNA". It matches the Rfam family "Bacterial large subunit ribosomal RNA", at positions 2744 to 2925 of the family's 2925-position model. The record is from RNAcentral. Lineage: Bacteria; Pseudomonadati; Pseudomonadota; Gammaproteobacteria; Moraxellales; Moraxellaceae.